RNAcentral lists this transfer RNA (67 nucleotides) under Ecnomus sp. XG-2021. RNAcentral describes it as "tRNA-Asp". Lineage: Eukaryota; Metazoa; Arthropoda; Insecta; Trichoptera; Ecnomidae. The record is from RNAcentral.
UAAGAAUUAAUUAAAAUAUAAUAUAAAUUUGUCAAAUUUAAAUUAAAUAAUCAAUAUUUAUUCUUAA